UACGAAGGGGGCUAGCGUUGUUCGGAAUUACUGGGCGUAAAGGGCGCGUAGGCGGCGUGUCAAGUCAGGCGUGAAAGCCCCGGGCUCAACCUGGGAACCGCGCUUGAGACUGGCAUGCUCGAGUUCGGGAGAGGAUGGUGGAAUUCCCAGUGUAGAGGUGAAAUUCGUAGAUAUUGGGAAGAACACCGAUGGCGAAGGCAGCCAUCUGGACCCGAACACUGACGCUGAGGAGCGAAAGCGUGGGGAGCGAACAGG
Molecule: ribosomal RNA, 255 nt
Filed under: uncultured bacterium
Lineage: Bacteria
Description: partial 16S ribosomal RNA
Rfam family: Bacterial small subunit ribosomal RNA
Source: RNAcentral